GCUUCUUUUACGGAAACGCUGUGGGUCU
This 28-nucleotide non-coding RNA is filed under the name Rattus norvegicus (Norway rat). The record is from RNAcentral. Lineage: Eukaryota; Metazoa; Chordata; Mammalia; Rodentia; Muridae.